ACAAAGUCCUCACCAGAGCCAAGCUAGUGCUGGAGCCAUGCCCUUCAACCUGAAAACUGUGAGCUAAAUAACCUUUCUUCCUUACAUAUUACCUAAAUCAGGUAUUUUGUCAUAGUAAUGGAAAGCACACCAAUACACACAAGUGAGUUGGGUCCACAUGUCUUCUGUAUAACUUCAUUGAAUAAUACCUAACUGAACAGAAAAACAUACUAAAGAAGUGUUUUCUUUUAAAUAUAAAUUCUGUACAUGUAUAACAUUUUAAAAUUUUGUUUCUCUCCAGAUUAAAUUUCCACUUAUCCUUAUAUACACUCACAGGGAGUAGUAUAUGUAAUAACCAUUGUCAUCUCUGAGAGAGGGAGGAGCCCAAAAGUCACACAACUGUGAAGGCACAGGCACAACCUGCACCCAGGGGCCUGAAAGCUCCUUAUAGUGCUCUUUUCUACAAGACUUUGUGGCCUUAAUGCCAAACUUUCCCAGGGACACAUGGAUAUUUAUAUUUCAACUUUUUCUGCAGUUAUAUGGAAGAGUUCUGAGGACUUCAUGGAUUUUUGAUCACAUCAACAGAUUUAUCUGAUUGCUUAUUCGUGUUGGAUCAUAGGAUUAUGAGGCAUCUGUGGGAGCUUAUGUUUCAUAGACAACAAAUCAUGAUGCCUGUGCCUGAUGAGGGUAGUGAAUCCAGGAGAGAUGCAAGGGCCCUUCCCUCAGCAGGCAUCCAUGGGACUUGGCAUGUCCAGACUGCACUACCUCGAGAAGUGAUGAAGAUACCAGACCUCUUCCCUGUCUGCAGGAACAUUGGUCCAAGAUAAAUGAACUCACCUACUUUAGAAAAGAAAAAUCUAAUCGGAGAAUGGUACCAUCCCCCCGAAGACCACUCAUUCUGUGCUCUGCCAACAUAGCCACAGGGAAUCUACCAUCUUUUCCGCCAUGUGUGAGGUUGUGGUUGAGUUUUUCCCUUUCCUUUCCUUUUAGUUUCCUAAAUAUAGAAUUAAUGGGUAGUAGGGAAAGUCAAUGAUUUCUCCUACUUGGGUCUGGAGAAUGGAAAGAAAAUAUUCCUUUCUUCUUUCGGCUUCAAAACCCCCUCUAGGUUGGGGCCCUCACUUGCCAAUUUCGCAUUCAGAUAAGACACAAGUCAAGGACCACAAAGUUUGUAACGACAAGGAGCUGGAAGGGGGCAUUGCUGUACUAUGAUAGAGUACUGGCCCCAAGUGUCAAACCUUGGUUGGUGGUGCCAGGUUGGCUGCCCCAGACUCUUGGGGAAAGGAUUUUGAAGAGCAUAGACUCAUGGGCUUCUAUCCCUAGGGACCUCAGGUGGGGCUUCAGAAGUUUAAAAUAUUUUUUUUUUGUUUGGAAAGAUUCUCAGAUCCACCACCAGUUUAGGAUUCAGAAGUGUAAAAACAGUGAAUAGCAGCAAUAAAAGUUAAAUAAAUAAUUUGC
This 1434-nucleotide long non-coding RNA is filed under the name Chinchilla lanigera (long-tailed chinchilla). Its description in RNAcentral is "lncRNA (ENSCLAG00000026814.1)". Lineage: Eukaryota; Metazoa; Chordata; Mammalia; Rodentia; Chinchillidae. The record is from RNAcentral.